UCCCUUGUUAAAACACUCAGGGGGCUUUCGCCAACAACCCAAGAUGGGCAGAGCAAAAGACCACUUGUGGGUGAAGUGGCGGCAUGUUGUGCUGUUUGGUUUCAAUCAGACAAGA
This is a small nucleolar RNA of Ochotona princeps (American pika), 115 nucleotides long. Lineage: Eukaryota; Metazoa; Chordata; Mammalia; Lagomorpha; Ochotonidae. The record is from Ensembl.